RNAcentral lists this microRNA precursor (78 nucleotides) under Schistosoma mansoni. RNAcentral's name for it is "mir-3492 microRNA precursor family". It matches the Rfam family "mir-3492 microRNA precursor family". The record is from Rfam by way of RNAcentral. Lineage: Eukaryota; Metazoa; Platyhelminthes; Trematoda; Strigeidida; Schistosomatidae.
AGCUUUCUAAAUCCGCGCUCAGAGUUCGUAAGACAUCAACCCAUUAGGGCUGACGAGACUUCCAAGAUAAGUGAAGUU